This 312-nucleotide long non-coding RNA is filed under the name Lathyrus oleraceus (garden pea). Its description in RNAcentral is "Pisum sativum (pea) long non-coding RNA (PSAT_LNC038890)". Lineage: Eukaryota; Viridiplantae; Streptophyta; Magnoliopsida; Fabales; Fabaceae. The record is from RNAcentral.
AAACUCCGGUAGGGAACAGAUCGCUGUAUCAAUCCUUGAAUGCUCUGUGGGGAAUGAUCCGUCUGCCGGGACCAAUGAGCCACCAAAAAUAAAUUGGCUGCUUGAAAAGUUGACCUUGCGGGGGGAGUAUCAACUAUGGAAACUUUGUUCGGCGAGGCUCUGUGAGGAGAGUCUGUGGGGAAAACACUUCCUGGGGAAAUGUCGUAGGAAACGACCUUUGCUGGGGAUAUGAACUUGCUAAUCACCCUCAAGCUGGGGAUUAACAAAUCUGUUAAAAAUAAUCUGCUGGGGAAUGAGAUGAACACUGGGAAC